UCAGAUGGAGUGAAUAUGAUGAUUCUGUGAAGGUUUAUUGCAACAUGACUUUUUCAGCACAGCAACAGGAAAAUUUGACUCUGGGUCUGUUCUACAAAAUUAAAGCUUUCUCAGCACAAAAAACAGCAUAGACUGUGAGUGAUGGCGGCCAUCUUGGUUCAUGUGUAAAGACUGAAUUUCAGUGACUACCAACGGCUAUUUCUUAGAAUGUGGCACUUACCCUGGGUUCAGGCUGUGGUCCUUCUACUGCCCAUGAAUGAAUUGCUCCAUCUGAACAUUCGGGAACAGGCUCAAAGCCAGCUGCACUACGAGGAGCACCUCCACAAUCACAACAGAUCAUCAAAAAUGGGACCACUGGUGGUGGAGGGAUAGUAAUACUAGAGUUAGCACUGGGUGCAAAUAAAAAACAAAGUCGUGGGAUGCUCGUGAAUUAAGAAACAACCAAAAAUGCCAAAUAUUGAGACUCUUGAAAUCAAAUUAAGUAUGAUCUGAGAUUAAGAACUUCUGAGAAGAAUUUAAGCAUGAACAUAUAUAUUGACAUGAAGUCCACUUACA
Molecule: long non-coding RNA, 555 nt
Filed under: Homo sapiens (human)
Lineage: Eukaryota; Metazoa; Chordata; Mammalia; Primates; Hominidae
Description: HSALNT0249593
Source: RNAcentral